Molecule: ribosomal RNA, 648 nt
Filed under: uncultured archaeon
Lineage: Archaea
Description: bacterial SSU rRNA
Rfam family: Archaeal small subunit ribosomal RNA
Source: RNAcentral
GGGCCGUGAGAGCGGGAGCCCGGAGAUGGGCACUGAGACAAGGGCCCAGGCCCUACGGGGCGCAGCAGUCGCGAAAACUUUGCAAUACACAAAGUGUGACAGGGCUAUCCCGAGUGCCAUCCGCUGAGGAAGGCUUUUACCCAGUCUAGAACGCUGGGGGAAUAAGGAGAGGGCAAGUCUGGUGUCAGCCGCCGCGGUAAUACCAGCUCUCCGAGUGGUGUGGAUGUUUAUUGGGCCUAAAGCAUCCGUAGCUGGCUAAGUUAGUCCCCUGUUAAAUCCAACGAAUUAAUCGUUGGAUCGCGGGGGAUACUGCUUGGCUAGGGGACGAGAGAGGCAGACGGUAUUUCCGGGGUAGGGGUGGAAUCCUAUAAUCCCGGGAAGACCACCAGUGGCGAAGGCUGUCUGCUAGAACGCGCCCGACGGUGAGGGAUGAAAGCUGGGGGAGCGAACCGGAUUAGAUACCCGGGUAGUCCCAGCUGUAAACGAUGCAGGCUAGGUGUUUGGACGGCCACGUGCCGUUCUAGUGCCGCAGGGAAGCUGUUAAGCCUGCCGCCUGGGGAGUACGAUCGCAAGAUUGAAACUUAAAGGAAUUGGCGGGGGAGCACCACAAGGGGUGAAGCUUGCGGUUUAAUUGGAGUCAACGCCGGG